UCAGCUCUCUUUGCCUAUUGGCUUAGAUCAAGUGUAGUAUCUGUUCUUUUCAGUUUAAUCUCUGAAAG
This 68-nucleotide small nuclear RNA is filed under the name Penicillium polonicum. RNAcentral describes it as "U2 spliceosomal RNA". It matches the Rfam family "U2 spliceosomal RNA", at positions 1 to 67 of the family's 192-position model. From Rfam's summary of the family: U2 is a small nuclear RNA (snRNA) component of the spliceosome (involved in pre-mRNA splicing). Complementary binding between U2 snRNA (in an area lying towards the 5' end but 3' to hairpin I) and the branchpoint sequence (BPS) of the intron results the bulging out of an unpaired adenosine, on the BPS, which initiates a nucleophilic attack at the intronic 5' splice site, thus starting the first of two transesterification reactions that mediate splicing. Lineage: Eukaryota; Fungi; Ascomycota; Eurotiomycetes; Eurotiales; Aspergillaceae. The record is from Rfam by way of RNAcentral.